This 58-nucleotide small RNA is filed under the name Helianthus annuus (common sunflower). Lineage: Eukaryota; Viridiplantae; Streptophyta; Magnoliopsida; Asterales; Asteraceae. The record is from RNAcentral.
CACUAGUGGAGGGUUGGCGCCACUCUCCUGAUGAGUCCAAGGCAUGACGAAACCAGUG